This 305-nucleotide unclassified non-coding RNA is filed under the name plant metagenome. RNAcentral's name for it is "partial contains 5.8S ribosomal RNA, internal transcribed spacer 2, and large subunit ribosomal RNA". The stretch from base 1 to 105 matches the Rfam family "5.8S ribosomal RNA", at positions 50 to 154 of the family's 154-position model. The record is from RNAcentral.
GAAAUGCGAUAAGUAAUGUGAAUUGCAGAAUUCAGUGAAUCAUCGAAUCUUUGAACGCACAUUGCGCCCGCCAGUAUUCUGGCGGGCAUGCCUGUUCGAGCGUCAUUUCAACCAUCAAGCCCCCGGCUUGUGUUGGGGACCUGCGGCUGCCCGCAGGCCCUGAAAAACAGUGGCGGGCUCGCUUUCACACCGAGCGUAGUAGCAUACAUUCUCGCUCAGGGCGUGCUGCGGGUUCCGGCCGUUAAACGACCUUCAUAACCCAAGGUUGACCUCGGAUCAGGUAGGAAGACCCGCUGAACUUAAGC